GAUGAACGCUAGCUACAGGCUUAACACAUGCAAGUCGCGGGGCAGCAUGGGGGUUGCUUGCAAUCCCCGAUGGCGACCGGCGCACGGGUGAGUAACGCGUAUUCAACCUGCCCUUCACCACGGGAUAACCCGGCGAAAGUCGGACUAAUACCGUAUGUUGUCCAUUGACGGCAUCCGAUUUGGACGAAAGGCUUGGCGGUGAGGGAUGGGGAUGCGUCCGAUUAGCCAGACGGCGGGGUAACGGCCCACCGUGGCUACGAUCGGUAGGGGUUCUGAGAGGAAGGUACCCCACACUGGAACUGAGACACGGUCCAGACUCCUACGGGAGGCAGCAGUGAGGAAUAUUGGUCAAUGGGCGUAAGCCUGAACCAGCCAAGUAGCGUGCAGGAUGACGGCCCUAUGGGUUGUAAACUGCUUUUAUGCGGGGAUAAAGUGGCCCACGUGUGGGCUUUUGCAGGUACCGCAUGAAUAAGGACCGGCUAAUUCCGUG
This 490-nucleotide ribosomal RNA is filed under the name uncultured bacterium. RNAcentral describes it as "partial 16S ribosomal RNA". It matches the Rfam family "Bacterial small subunit ribosomal RNA", at positions 28 to 507 of the family's 1533-position model. The record is from RNAcentral.